AAGUCGUAACAAGGUUUCCGUAGGUGAACCUGCGGAAGGAUCAUUACAAAUCAGUAGCUUGCUACUGCGCUGGGGGAGACGGGAAAGUCCUGGCUGAAAAGCCGGUGUACCGGUACCUACACCCCUAUCAUACCCUUGUCUUUUGAGUACUUAUGUUUCCUUGGUAGGCUUGCCUGCCAAUAGGACAAACUUUUAAACCUUUGUAAAUAUCAAUCAGCGUCUGCAAAAUAAUUAAUAAUUACAACUUUCAACAACGGAUCUCUUGGUUCUG
RNAcentral lists this unclassified non-coding RNA (271 nucleotides) under Leptospora rubella. RNAcentral's name for it is "partial internal transcribed spacer region". The stretch from base 1 to 46 matches the Rfam family "Eukaryotic small subunit ribosomal RNA", at positions 1786 to 1831 of the family's 1831-position model. The record is from RNAcentral. RNAcentral also lists the same sequence under 1 other name. Lineage: Eukaryota; Fungi; Ascomycota; Dothideomycetes.